GUUGAUUCCCGAUGGUACGUCUGGUUGAGGGUCAA
This 35-nucleotide ribosomal RNA is filed under the name Dirofilaria immitis (dog heartworm nematode). RNAcentral's name for it is "partial 5.8S ribosomal RNA". Lineage: Eukaryota; Metazoa; Nematoda; Chromadorea; Rhabditida; Onchocercidae. The record is from RNAcentral.